RNAcentral lists this ribosomal RNA (460 nucleotides) under uncultured bacterium. RNAcentral's name for it is "partial 16S ribosomal RNA". It matches the Rfam family "Bacterial small subunit ribosomal RNA", at positions 338 to 795 of the family's 1533-position model. The record is from RNAcentral.
CCUACGGGAGGCAGCAGUGAGGAAUAUUGGUCAAUGGACGAGAGUCUGAACCAGCCAAGUAGCGUGAAGGAUGACUGCCCUAUGGGUUGUAAACUUCUUUUAUAAAGGAAUAAAACGAGGCACGUGUGCCUUUUUGCAUGUACUUUAUGAAUAAGGAUCGGCUAACUCCGUGCCAGCAGCCGCGGUAAUACGGAGGAUUCGAGCGUUAUCCGGAUUUAUUGGGUUUAAAGGGAGCGUAGAUGGGUUGUUAAGUCAGUGGUGAAAGUUUGCGGCUCAACUGUAAAAUUGCAAUCGAUACUGGCAGGCUAGAGUACAGUUGAGGUAGGCGGAAUGCGUGGUGUAGCGGUGAAAUGCUUAGAGAUCACGAAGAACCCCGAUUGCGAAGGCAGCUUACUAAGCUGUUACUGACAUUGAUGCUCGAAAGUGUGUGUAUCAAACAGGAUUAGAUACCCGUGUAGUC